Nematolebias whitei (Rio pearlfish) is the source of this 229-nucleotide long non-coding RNA. RefSeq lists it as uncharacterized. The transcript is spliced from 3 exons. Lineage: Eukaryota; Metazoa; Chordata; Actinopteri; Cyprinodontiformes; Rivulidae. The record is from RefSeq and is a predicted model, not a curated record.
CGGAGGCGGAUCAGCACUUCCACGUCCGCUACAACAGCCUGUCUUCUGCUAACUCUGACUGUGAGACUGACGGCGACCAGAGUUCCUCCGGGCUUCAGGAUCCGCUGGACGCCAGCAGCUUUAACUCCCCAGCAUCCCCUCCAAACACGCAAACCAGCAGCCCCGCAGGGAACGGUCUCCCCAUCCCAGCCCUGCGCUUCCCUUCGAGUAUCGCAGUUCUCAGUAACAC